CAAAACCUAUAUCGAGAGGAACAAAGAGGUUGUUAAAACAGUGUGUUGAUGAAGGACAUGCAAAUGAACAUGGAAUUGAGGAAAGAAGGACUAAAUCUAAUCGUGUUUUCGUCGGUGGAGAUCAAUGCGAUCAAAUUAAAUCAAAGAGAUGGAAAACAAGUGAGUGUACUUUAUGUCUUCUGAAAUGUUGAUGUACACAGAGUCUUAGCAAAAUUUGUUGUUUGUUUACAAAUAUAAACUAAUUGAUAUUGUUUGAUUUUUGGUUAUAGUGUCUCAUGUGCAAAUUGCUGAAGCAUCACAUCAAUCUGAGAAUGUCAAUGGAUUUGAGCACUGUGACGAAGGGUUUAGACGCGAGAACCAAAAUAGUACUGCAGUUGUAAACGAAUCUUCAUUUACAAUUACAGAAGGUGAAUGUUCGUUUUCAUUUGGUCAAGCAUCAUAUCAAAGAAGCAAGCAAGCAUUGACUAUGAAAUAUGAAGAUUCGGGUGAUAACUUUUAUACGUGUGAUCAUUGUAAUGCAUCUUUUUGGUUUGGAGAAGCUCUUAAGAGAUCAUCUUCAAAUGCGCCUCUUAUUUAUACGAAUUGUUGUAAAAAAGGUCAAAUCAAAAUUCAACAACCAAAACCAACGCCAGCUUUUCUUGAAGCAUUAUUGGAUCCAGAUAAUGGCCUAGAAAGCAAAAUUUUUAGAGAAAAUAUCAGAGUGUAUAAUUCAAUGUUUUC
Long non-coding RNA from Rosa chinensis, 720 nucleotides. RefSeq lists it as uncharacterized. The record is from RefSeq and is a predicted model, not a curated record. NCBI's taxonomy places the organism in Eukaryota, Viridiplantae, Streptophyta, Magnoliopsida, Rosales, Rosaceae. The transcript has 3 exons.